AUGGCAGUGUAUCUGUUUCUUAAUUCCAUUAUUUUACUUUUAGAUUUGUGUGAAUUGUUAGAUACUACUGUAUUGUUGGAGCUAGUAACAUGAAGCAAUUCGCUACACAAGGAAUGACAUCUGCUUAAUAUGUGUACAGUAUGUGACCAAUACAAUUUAAUGUAUAAUACCCUGAGCACUUACAUCUGCGUUUGAAUCACUUGAAUCACUUGUGUUUGAAGAGUCAAUCCGAUAACGAAACGAAACCUAGAGAGGCAUAGACAGGAAUGUAACAAAACCAACAUAAUUUCCUAAAUACCUGUUCAACACAACACAUUUCUGGCUAUAACAGCCCAUAACUUUGCAACCUGUUGAACUGACCCAUGGUUCUUCAGAAGGCACACCUCCCAGGUGAGCAAGAUACUAUACAAUACACUCUAAGCAUAUGAUGUAAGUAUGACCUACAGCAAUUCAGAGAGAGAAAGAGAGAGAGAGAUGUGUGCUGUCCAAUGUCUAGAGCAGGGCAGGGGGAGGAGUGAGACCGUGUGAGGGACUUCAUUCUUGAGCACUGCCGUUGAACUUGACAAUAAAAAGCAUAACGUUCUCAGAUAAGCUUUUCCUGUUCUGAUUUAACAUAUUCAUGGACUGUGAGAAGAGUUUCUCAACAUCCACAGAUGUGGUGGGGAGCCACAAAUAAAGAGAAGCAAUGCGGGCCCCAGUUUGCAGCCUGUCUUUCAGCUCCUGCCCACCAGUCCACUGCUCUCACCUGUCUGGCAUCAGUUUUGUUUAUUGACAUGUAGUUGUGCCACUCCUCUUCAGAAACCUCACUCAAAGCAGGGAUGAUGUGCACAUAGUCCUUCCUCUCUUUCCUGGACCCUUCCACUCGUGCUGGAUCGAAUAUGUAAAGAAAGCUAGUCCCUGGUGCCUUUCCAUCACAGCCUGUAGCUUAAUGGCACAUUCUCCAUGGCAAACUUAAGGAGCUCUGCACACACAUCUCUCUCUUGCUCUGGAAGUUCCUCCAGCUGAGUGGUGGUGCCAGUCAUCUGCCUCUGCCUUGCUACCAUACUCCAAGACGUGUAGGUUCUGCAACUUGUUGCCGAUGUUGUGGGCUUAUGGCUCUGAUGUCUUCUCCAGCUUCUUAAGGAAGACCACUAACUCCAAACUGUGGUCAAUGAUGAACACAUAGGCCUUUAGCGAGGACUUGUGAUUCCCCAGCAGCUGGGGCAGGUGGUGGGCCCAUACCUUCCAGACCUACGCCUGCAUGAGCAGGGUCUGAACCCAGAUGAAAGCCACCAAUAGGAAGCUCAGAGAGACAGGGAACCCUGUGCAGUUCUUCGAAAUGUCCGUCUACAGCAACAGGUAUGGACAAACCAGACAUUUCACCAGGAGAGUCAUGUCUUCUUUAAUAUGAUACGAAGGAUAGGGUUUAGAAUUCUAUAACAAUGGAAAUAAUUCUCCCCUCCAAAAACAUUGCUGUAAGUAUGUGUUAGUAUCUGUACAGCUUCCACAAGUGCCUCUAAGCACACCCCUCUCAUUUGUCCUAUGUUGUUGUUCUGUCUGUGUCCAGAUACGUCUUUGCAGCGAACCUGUAUGAGAAUGAGAGUCUGAACUAGACAGAGUGGUCUAUCUACCAGGACUGGCACGGCUGGCUCCACAAACAGUUUUUUAAAAAUGCAUCGCGCUGGACGGCAUCAUCUACCUUCAAGCCGCACCAGAGAGAUGCAUGGAGAGGCUACAUCUGAGAGGCAGAGAGGAGGAGCAGGGCAUUCCUCUGGAGUACAUGGAGAAACUCCACUUCAAACACGAGAGCUGGCUGCAGCACAAAACCAUGUGGCGAGAGAGGGAGGAAGGAAGUGUUGAUGGGAUUGUGAACGAGGAAGGGAGUGUUAAGGAAGGGAGUAGGUUGAGCAUGGUAUAGGAGUAUCUGAUUGACACGCCCAUUCUGACGCUGGAUAUCAACAACAUUUUUAAAUGGGACAAGGUCAAGGGUGCCGACAUGGUGGAAAGGUCAAAGAGUUUCUCAGUACAUUGUAAACACCAGCAGAUGACCAUCAUAGCCUGCUCUGGAUGUGGAACUUGUUUUGAAAUGAAUGAUGUCAAUUAUUUUUUAUAUUAUAUUUAAAGCAUUUGAAAUGUAUCGACCUGCAUGGGUACCUGCAUGGGUAAACACAAUAUGAUACGUUUGUAUAGCUUGGAAGGGGAAAAAACCUGAAUAUGUGUUUCUUUAUUAGAAAUCAUUUGUGCUGUUUUUAUAAACGUCUAAAAUAAUAAAGGGCUACCAGUAUAAAGGAA
Long non-coding RNA from Oncorhynchus mykiss (rainbow trout), 2271 nucleotides. RefSeq lists it as uncharacterized. Lineage: Eukaryota; Metazoa; Chordata; Actinopteri; Salmoniformes; Salmonidae. The record is from RefSeq and is a predicted model, not a curated record.